CUACGGGGCGCAGCAGUGGGGAAUAUUGGACAAUGGGGGAAACCCUGAUCCAGCCAUGCCGCGUGGAUGAAGAAGGCCCUAGGGUUGUAAAGUCCUUUCGGUGGUGAAGAUAAUGACGGUAACCACAGAAGAAGCCCCGGCUAAUUUCGUGCCAGCAGCCGCGGUAAUACGAAAGGGGCUAGCGUUGUUCGGAAUUACUGGGCGUAAAGCGCACGUAGGCGGCAUUGUAAGUUGGGGGUGAAAUCCCAGGGCUCAACCCUGGAACUGCCUUCAAAACUACAAAGCUAGAGGAUGUGAGAGGUGAGUGGAAUUCCGAGUGUAGAGGUGAAAUUCGUAGAUAUUCGGAAGAACACCAGUGGCGAAGGCGACUCACUGGCACAUUUCUGACGCUGAGGUGCGAAAGCGUGGGGAGCAAACAGGAUUAGAUACCCCCGUAGUC
This 439-nucleotide ribosomal RNA is filed under the name uncultured bacterium. RNAcentral describes it as "partial 16S ribosomal RNA". It matches the Rfam family "Bacterial small subunit ribosomal RNA", at positions 339 to 795 of the family's 1533-position model. The record is from RNAcentral.